This 72-nucleotide transfer RNA is filed under the name Ictinia plumbea. Its description in RNAcentral is "tRNA-Val". The record is from RNAcentral. Lineage: Eukaryota; Metazoa; Chordata; Aves; Accipitriformes; Accipitridae.
CAGGACGUAGCUAUAAUACAAAGCAUUCAGCUUACACCUGAAAGAUGCCUACCAUCCCCUAGGUCGUCCUGA